RNAcentral lists this ribosomal RNA (253 nucleotides) under uncultured bacterium. Its description in RNAcentral is "partial 16S ribosomal RNA". It matches the Rfam family "Bacterial small subunit ribosomal RNA", at positions 524 to 776 of the family's 1533-position model. The record is from RNAcentral.
UACAGAGGGGGCAAGCGUUGUUCGGAAUUACUGGGCGUAAAGGGCGCGUAGGCGGCCCGCUAAGUCGAACGUGAAAUCCCCGGGCUCAACCCGGGAACUGCGUCCGAUACUGGCAGGCUUGAAUCCGGGAGAGGGAUGUGGAAUUCCAGGUGUAGCGGUGAAAUGCGUAGAUAUCUGGAGGAACACCGGUGGCGAAGGCGGCAUCCUGGACCGGUAUUGACGCUGAGGCGCGAAAGCCAGGGGAGCAAACGGG